Molecule: long non-coding RNA, 192 nt
Filed under: Mus musculus (house mouse)
Lineage: Eukaryota; Metazoa; Chordata; Mammalia; Rodentia; Muridae
Description: predicted gene 45812
Source: RNAcentral
CGGACAGGCUUGAGCACCUCCCGAUGCCAAAGAGCCGCCCACCUACAAGCAAAGUAGAGUCUAUGGGGACUCCUAGGGCCAGGCCAGUCCACGCUGAGGGCUCGACACUGUGCAAGAGACGGGCGAGCUGCAGUCCGAGAAGUGGAGUCUUCCUCGCCACUGGGUAGAAUAUCUUUUCCACGCCCUGUCUCA